ACCACACUCAAGAUGGCUGCCUGGCAUUCCUCUACGAAAUGGAUGUCUGCCUCACUCACUGUUACCAAGGCUUCAUUCCAGGCCUAAUAGGUCUUUAAAGGAUGGGAGAGUUUGAGAGAGGCCACACCCUUCCAUGUGAAAGCUGCAUCCAUGCUAUUACAACCAUUUCGUCAGAUGAGCUUGAGAAGUGUCCUCGGGUGCUCCCCCGCCAGUCCAGCAACAAAUGGCAUGCUGCCCAUCCCACAAUGUCGCUGGACUUCAGCAUUUCUACCCCAACUUUCUCACCUGAGGGGACUCAAGGCGGCUUACAAUAAUAGGCAAGAAUUCAAUUCCUUACACAAUACAUUAAAACAACAGUUCUUAUAAAAACAAUAACAUGACAUAAUAAAACACAUAAUACAAAAUUUAAAAACUGUUUACAUACAUAUAUUUUGAACCCCAGAGCAGAGUUUACAUCCAUUCAGAGGUACUACAAGGGUGGAAGUGGGAGAGAGAAGCUUUUGCUUAACCUCUGUACAUCCACAAUCAAGUCCUCCUGAUCUGAAAUUAGAGAGAAGACUGAGAUCACUGAGUUCUCUGAAUUCCCCAUCCCAUCUAUUCCCCAGUCCUCUUAUUUUAAAAAUAAUGAUUCUUGUGGUUAGUAAAAGCCAUUAUCAUUGAUCUAGCAAUGUAUUUUCAUGUACUUUCAAGUUAUUCCAACUUAUGGCAAAUCGGCCAUGGCAAGACUUUUUCAGAGCAGCUUUGCCAUUGCCUUCUUUUGAGACUGGGAGUGUGACUUGCCCAAGGUCACCCAGUUUAGGUCUGCAGUCCAAUAUCCUCUUUAGCUCAAUAGGACUUGCUCCAGAAUAAGAGCGUACAGAACCAAAGCUUUGAAGUACUACACCUUUAUUCAAUCCCAGGGUAAGAGGUUACUCCGAUUGAGGUCAAUAGAUUUUUCCCUUGGGUAAAAUAAUAAUAAUAAUAAUAAUAAUAAUAAUAAUAAUAAUAAUAAUACUUUAUUUAUACCCCGCCACCACCUCCCCAACGGGGACUCAGGGCGGCUUACAUGGGGCCAUGCCCAGAACAAUACAAUAUAACAGAAUACAAAAAGAACAACAAAUCAUAACACAUUGAACAAUACAAUAAAUGAUAAUAUACAUUACAACGCAAAAUCAGAAGAACAAUAAAAACAAGGGCGGGCCACAUGAACACUAAGUUAAAACGGGGUGAGAAAGAAAUAAGAAUAAAAACCACAAAGAACAGGGUCAUAAAAUAGUGGUGCAAUCUAGAGGAUAGAUAUUGGAGGGGAGCAACAGAGAAGAUGUAUGUAGUAAUUACUCUCCAAAAGCACAGUGGAAGAGCCAUGUUUUCAGGUCUUUCUUAAAGGCUACUAAUGUGGGGGCUUGCCUAAUCUCAACGGGCAGUGAGUUCCACAAUCGGGGGGCCACAGCAGAGAAGGCCCUCUCCCUUGUUCCCACAAGGCGUGUAAAAGAAGUGUAGGAUGUACGGGACCACAUACAAGAUAGGAUUGAAAUAUAAAAGGUUAAUUGUAUGUACACACUUCCCUAGGAAACAUGAACAUUUGUAAUUUUAUUCUAUAUUUGGUCUGUAUAUUAUAUUCAUUAUAAAUUAAUUGCUUUGUUUAAUAUUAUCCAUUAUAUGACUAUUUGGUAGAAUGGCACCACACCUCUCAGAUAAUUUGUUUCUACUGGCAAAUAUCCCUUAAAUUUGUGGUCACCCAAUGACACAUAAGGAGGAGGAGGAGAAAUGUAUUAUACCUCUCCAUGUGGUUCAAGGUGCAAUACAACAUGUGAGUCUGGAUUCAAAAAGUCAGUUUCCUUUCAUGUUGUAAAUGUUUGCUCAGGGCACUUCCACACAUAACAAAAUUUACCUCUUUCCCCUCCCCUCCACCUGUCAUUUCAUUUUCUCAUGCCUGAAAAACUAUAGGGAGAGGCUGUGCUGUCAGAAGGCCUCUCCAGUAAAUUUGAGGACCCAAAUGGGGGGCUGGAGGGGAGUGGGUGGGUGUCAUCCCACUCCUUUGGGCUUUUCAACAGCCAACCAAGUGAGAUGGCUGUAGAGAGUGACCCUCUGGACAGCAGAAGCAGUCCUGAGAGUCAAUUUCCACAGGCCCAGCACUUCAUUAGACCUGGAUUCUUUAUAAAUAUCUGGAUCUAAUGAGGUGUUUAAUUAAUGUGGAGUAAACCAGGGAAAGUUUACUCUGCAUUAAUUUGGUUUUCCCAGAGAUGUCGUUUGGACAUCGGUAAACUUGAGAGCAGUCCUACAUAUUGGGUCUGAAUGGGCUCUUGGUUACAAGUAAAGAACAAAUAAUCAACAUGAAGUAGCUUUGAAUUCAUUUCCUUCCCUUGUUUUGAUUCUGUAUAACCUUUUCAACUAUAUUUUAAGAGGCUUCUUGUUACAAGCAGAAAAACGGGGCCCUUUCACACUACACAAUUAUAGCACCUUGAUAUCAUUUUAAUCAUCAUGGUUCAAUUAUAUGGAAAUUCGGGACUUGUAGUUUAGGGAGAGGCAUUUAGAAUUGUCAGCUCCAGAAUUCCACAGAAUGCAGCCAUAGCAAUGAAAGUGGAAUCAUAGUGCUGUUAUUGCAUAGUGUGAAGGAUUGGAUUUGGCAUACUUUGAAUGGUGACCAUACUUGGAAAGUGAACUUGGUAUUGUGUGUUUCAAGUAGGACAUGUUGUAGAAGGAUAAUUUCAACAUAGAGGUGGUUUCCAUUUGCAGCACACUGACUUUAAAAAGAGAAAGUAUAACAGGUCAGUCCUAGUGUUAUGCUUUUUAGAGAAAGAAACUGGCAAAAUUACCUCUAGAUAUUCCUUGUCUAAGAAAACUUUAUGGAACUCAUGGGGUUGUUAUCAGUCAACAGCUAGCUUAAAGGCCCAUGCACACAAAGUAUGUUUUAUCAUACUAACACCAACAAAACAUUGGCCUAAAUUCAAUUAAUUCUAGAAAGGAGUUUUACAUAAGUUUUGACUUACCAAGUACCAUUCAUUUAGUGGAUCCACUCUAGUUGUGAGUAAGAUUUUGAUUUAGUCUCUGGUUCCUAUUAACAUGACUUUAAAUAACAAUACACAUAUUGUUAUAUUGUUGUCAAGAGGUUUGAUCCUGGAUAAAAAAGAAUAUGUAAAAUAACAUUGGUGGUUACACUUGAAACUAGUGGUUAAUGAAAGCUUCAUUAAUGUUGAUUAAUGUAGUGCUCUUUCAUAAUUGAGAAAAUAUUUUAAGUAGCAAACAAAAUUAUUGGUCUUCGGUCUUUUUGAACUAAGGUAGAGCAAGCUUCAAGAUGAUUGAAAGGGAAGUUUUAAACAUGGUAGUUAUUUUUGUUGCCUGACAAGAAACACAAAAAGAAAUGAACAGCUACAAUAAAGAUGUAGUCACAGUGUGAUUUUUCAUGUUCAGUUGCUAAAAUGCAGCAGAAUAUCGAUUUCCAAUUAUCGUGGCUGCUAAACUCCAAAGUUCAGCAUGAGAACCACCUAUGAUAUUGAUUCAAUUCAAUAAAUUGCCUGUUUUA
Anolis carolinensis (green anole) is the source of this 3502-nucleotide long non-coding RNA. RefSeq lists it as uncharacterized. NCBI's taxonomy places the organism in Eukaryota, Metazoa, Chordata, Lepidosauria, Squamata, Anolidae. The record is from RefSeq and is a predicted model, not a curated record. The transcript has 3 exons.